CAACGGUGAGAAUCUUUAACUUGUUGUGAGAGAGAUCUCACACCCUCCUAAACAGAGGGUCCUAACCCCACUUUGGCCAGACUAUGUUGUCUUAACCGAGCCCACGCUGGCAUCAAACUUUGGCUAACGGAGUUGCAGGGGCUUGCGCUCUGGCGUAACGCACGGUGGACUAGAACCCGGGUGGCUCGGGCUCGAACUCUUGACCUAGGGUCUGGGAGAACUAGCCUUUAUCCACCAAUUGUGGCACUAGUGGGGAUUGAACUUGAGUCUCCAAGGAGAACCUAAGUCUUUCCAACUACUAGACCACAAGUGAUGGAUUAUAUAGUUACAAAAUAUAGAUUAUGAUAUAUAUUUAGAAAUAAAAAUCUAGAUAAUAUAUACAUUAUGCUAUAUCCUGCACAUUAUGCCCUUUGAGCCUAACCCAGUUAAUUUUUUUGGUUAAGUAUGCUCAUGUGCAAACAAGGCACAUGAUCUGUUUUAAUACAAAAAUGUAAGUGAGUUAGGGCUAAAGGACAUAACAUGCAGGAUGCCAGGAUUUUGAAACGUUAAGGACAAAACUCGUCAAAUUUAAAGGCAAAGGACACCGUUUGCAAUUUGGUACAAACAUAUAGGACAAAACUUGUAAUUUACUCUAAAAAGAUAGUUAAAUAUAAAUCGAGCAUAGCCCGAAAUUUUAUCACUACUCGCCCGUUGAGCUUAAGCUUCAGACGUAGAGCUCAAAAUAAACUGAGCGCAACCUCUCAUAAGUUAAACAACAAGGCAAGUUUGAGCUUAAUCAGGCUUGGCUUGGCUCAUUACAACAAACCAAGCCGGACCUCUCAUAAGUUAAACAACAAGGCAAGGCAAGGCAAGUUCAAGCCUAAUCAGGUUUAGUUUGGCUCAUUAAACCCCUACUUGCAAGUUGCAUAUGAACCUACAUGGCACUUGCAUUUCUCACUAUUUAUUGAAAUUUGAAAGUGCUAAAUGUUGUUUUAUAAGGAGGUAGAAAUAAUAUACAAUAUUAAAUAAAAUAGAAAUAAUCAAACUCUGAGCAAUCUGUAACCAAGUCAAGGAUAGGAACCCUCAUCUAUACCCUACAAGUAGAAGAAAAUAAAGCUUUAAAAAAAAUAAAGUAAUUCUAGAAUAGGAACUUGCAUGAAGUGAAGACAAAGCAUAUAUAUGAUUAACUAAGAUUCAUUACUUUAAUUUACCAUCACCAAACAA
Molecule: long non-coding RNA, 1203 nt
Filed under: Helianthus annuus (common sunflower)
Lineage: Eukaryota; Viridiplantae; Streptophyta; Magnoliopsida; Asterales; Asteraceae
Description: hypothetical non coding rna
Source: RNAcentral